Molecule: ribosomal RNA, 350 nt
Filed under: uncultured bacterium
Lineage: Bacteria
Description: bacterial SSU rRNA
Rfam family: Bacterial small subunit ribosomal RNA
Source: RNAcentral
AACGAACGCUGGCGGCAGGCUUAACACAUGCAAGUCGAGCGCCGUGGCAACACGGAGCGGCAGACGGGUGCGUAACGCGUGGGAACAUACCCUUUGGUUCGGAAUAACUCAGGGAAACUUGAGCUAAUACCGGAUAAGUGCGAGAGCAGAAAGAUUUAUCGCCGAAGGAUUGGCCCGCGUCUGAUUAGCUAGUUGGUGAGGUAAUGGCUCACCAAGGCUACGAUCAGUAGCUGGUCUGAGAGGAUGAUCAGCCACACUGGGACUGAGACACGGCCCAGACUCCUACGGGAGGCAGCAGUGGGGAAUAUUGGACAAUGGGCGAAAGCCUGAUCCAGCCAUGCCGCGUGAGU